GUGCUCACUUUGGUAGCACAUGCAUUAAAGUGAGAACGAUACAGAGAAGAUUAGCAUGGCCCCUGAACAAGAAUGUGACUUCUACAGCCAGACUCCCUGGGUUCUAAU
Molecule: small nuclear RNA, 108 nt
Organism: Vulpes vulpes (red fox)
Lineage: Eukaryota; Metazoa; Chordata; Mammalia; Carnivora; Canidae
Source: Ensembl